AUGAUGAGUAUCUUUUUAUUUUUUUUAAUAAAUUUUGGGUUUGGUGAUUUUAUAUCUUAUAUUCAGUUAUUGUAUAGUAAUGUUUCUGUUAUGGUCAAAGCAGGUGGUGGAUUAAGUGCACCCAUACCCAUCACGAGAGGGAUAAAGCAAGGUUGUCCGCCUUCUGGACAGUUAUAUAGGUUGAUGAUAGAGCCAUCGUGUAGACUGAGGAGGGUUCAUGAAGGAAUUGUAAUUCCUAGUAUAAAUGAUUAUUUAAAAUUAUUUUUGUCAGUGUAUGCUGAUUAUAUUACUGCUUUUAGUCAGGAUGAUAUUACAGUUUUAACUCAAACUAUUGAAAUUAUAUAUAUAUAUAAUUUCAGUAGUAAAAGAAACCUCCUCUACAAUAGUUAACUGGACUAAAAGUGAAGGAUUGAUUUAUUAUUGGUAGGUGGAAAGAAACUGGGUUUUCUAAACUUCUAGGCGGGUUACAUUGGAGACAGGAUGGUUUGAAAGCAUUAGGUGUUUUUUUUUUUUUUAUGGAAUAACAAUUUUCAAAAGAAAAAUUGGGAAAGUCUGCUGGAGAAGGUGUCUGUUAAAUUGGCAAAAUGGAACUGGCUAUUACCACAAUUGUCCUAUAGAGGGAGAGUUCUAGUUAUUAACAACUUGGCUGCAUCAAUGUUGUGGCAUAGGACUAUUGUUUUGUAGCCACCUGAAGAACUUAUUUCUAAUAUACAAAGGACAUUUGUUAAUGUAUUUUGAAGUGGACCGCAUUGGAUCCACGCAGCAGCACUUUAUUUACCAGUUCAAGAGGGUGGUCAAGACUUGGUGGAUGUGAGGAGUUGGAUCCGAGCAUUUAGGAUUCAAGCUGUACAGAGACUCCUUUAUAACAAAGAUGUGGCAUGUUUUUUUGUUUUGUUUUUUUUUUGGUUUAGACUUGGUCUUGAUAGACGUCUGCUUUUAAUGAUGUUAGAAGAGGUAACCUGUCAAAGCUUCUGCUUUUUUUUAUAGGUCUAUGCUACUGGCAUGUAGAACUGUUUUUAGUGUGGAACGAGAUGUGGAUGAUCCAGUAUACUGGACUCCAGAGGAACCUCUGCUUUCUAAUCCAGUGAUUCAGACAAGACUGUUGUCUAAAGACAUGCUUAUUGAGGAAUGGUGUUCAGAAGAUUGGACAUCUUCUAGAUAAAAGGGGAUGGAAAUCAACAGAGGCACUUCAAGAAAUGACAGGAAUGAAUGCCUUGUCUCAAAAUUAAAGGAAGAAACCUGUAAUGCAUUACCUAGAGGCUGCAGGAACUGUAUUGGACUAAGCUGAAGAUAUAGAACAUUUGUGGUUGAGGUGGAUUAGAUUGCAAGGUCUUUUUAAUUUGUUUAAGAUUUUGUUUAGUAAUUUUAAUGAAGAAUUUUCUGAAAAAGUGUUUAAUGGGGGAAUGAAAUAUAACUUUUUAAUGAGGAAGAAAAUGUGUUAAAUAUAUUAUUUAAUUUGAACAACUAAACUGGCAAUUUGGAAAACAAGAAAGAAUAAAGGGUUACAACUUUCUACAGUGGAUCCUGAAAUGAUGUUUCAAUGUUUGAUAAAAGGAAGAAACUGAGUUUGACUAUUAUAGGCUUAUAAAUAAUGUUGUACUUUUUGUAAUGUGUGGGAUGUUAAUGAGGUCCUUUGUAUAAUUUAUGAUAACUUGUAGUGAAUUUUAAAGUUGUUAAUUGUACUUAUUUAUUAAAAAGUGAUGUAAGUUUUAUAGGCUAAUAAAGUGCUUCUCCCUCUCUCUCUCUCUCUCUCUCUCUCUCUCUCUCUCUCUGUCUCUCUCUCUUUCUCUCUCUCUCUCUCUCUCUCAUAAUUUAUAGUUUAUUUACCCAUGCACUACUUAAGUAAUUAGUAAACCUGAUGCUGUUCUAAAGCCAUAUUAGCCUUUUCCCCCAGAUCACAGAAGAUGAGUUAUUUAUAUAAAAAAUAAAAAUAAAAAAAAUGCUUGCACUUGUCCAUUGAAUGGAAUGUAACCUUCUUCAAUCUUUUUACAAAAGGAUUCAAAUGUCAUAAAAUUAUCUUAAGCAACUCUUUCCAUAUCCCAAGUGUUCUUAAUGCAUACAGUAGGGUUUGCCAAGAAACAAAUUUGAAAUCUAAUCUAUUAUUAAGUGAAAAUCUCCAAUGAUCGCAUUUGUGCAUUUGUAUGAGUGUGCAGCAGCUUGUUUUCUAGUCUUUCUUGAUCUUUCUUUGCCCACAAAUCUUCACAGUGUGAUUGUGCAGCCCAGUAUAACAUAGUAUAACACAACACAACAGUGAUCUGAUGUAUGAUAAAUAGAACAUUUUGAGUGUUUCUUUAACUGUUGAUGUUUCGCUUGAAUGUUUCUUUUGCCAGGCUGUUUUCCAUUCUAGCUUCAAUAAAAUUCAGUUCACUGACAACCAUAAAAGCCACUGAGGAAGAGCAAUGUUUCAGUCUGAGGGAAAAAUUUCAUACUCAGUCAUUUUCUAAUAUCCAGCAGUAAGAGGUGGUUAUUCUACCAUCCUAAUGUCUUCAGGCUUCUGUGACACGACUGGGCAAUAAAUAAAUAAACUAUCCAGGAAAUGAAUCUCAAAGUCCUUCGCAAGUGUCUUCUGAUCAAUCAAGUAAUUUUAUCAUUGGACCGGAUGGUCGUCCUCCAGCCGCAUCGGGCCAUAGUGAUGAGCGCAAGCCAGCACAGGGACAUUUCCUUAAGAUGAUACUGAAGAAAUUAAUCAGAUUGAUUGAUGUGAUCUGAGAAAGAUCUCGGAU
Cyprinus carpio carpio is the source of this 2723-nucleotide long non-coding RNA. Lineage: Eukaryota; Metazoa; Chordata; Actinopteri; Cypriniformes; Cyprinidae. The record is from Ensembl.